Molecule: transfer RNA, 22 nt
Filed under: Platybdella anarrhichae
Lineage: Eukaryota; Metazoa; Annelida; Clitellata; Hirudinida; Piscicolidae
Description: partial tRNA-Leu
Source: RNAcentral
AAUAAUAAAAUAUUUUAUAUUA